AUGAUUCAGCUAAGCACCCCGACCAAAACAAAUAUAGAAUACAAAUAGGAAUCAAGGAAAUAGUAAACAACUUUGUUAUGGCUCCAAUCGACUCAAGGUUUUCGUGCUUGACUAUGGCUCUUUUGCUGAUGUCAACCACUUGUUUGUCGAGUCAAGUAUCAGAGACAGAGAGCAUAGGUAUGAAAGCCAACGCAUGCGCGGGCCGUGAACCUUACCAGUUCAAUUGUACGCCUGGAGGCUGUGUUACUGCCUGCAAAAAACUAGGCUGCGGAACUGGGGUUUGCCAUUCAGAUGGUAGUUGCUAUUGCAGCUAGAUGAGGCUGCUCGAUCAGUCCUAGUUGUUGCUCUAAUUUGUAGUAAGAAAAAGACCGAGAAUAAUAAGUAAUGUUGAGUUUUCUUCAAUUCCUGAAAAAAGUUAAAUAGAGAUUGUUUAUUUUCC
This is a long non-coding RNA of Hordeum vulgare subsp. vulgare (domesticated barley), 439 nucleotides long. RefSeq lists it as uncharacterized. The transcript is spliced from 2 exons. NCBI's taxonomy places the organism in Eukaryota, Viridiplantae, Streptophyta, Magnoliopsida, Poales, Poaceae. The record is from RefSeq and is a predicted model, not a curated record.